Scleropages formosus (Asian bonytongue) is the source of this 658-nucleotide long non-coding RNA. RefSeq lists it as uncharacterized. The record is from RefSeq and is a predicted model, not a curated record. Lineage: Eukaryota; Metazoa; Chordata; Actinopteri; Osteoglossiformes; Osteoglossidae. The transcript has 3 exons.
UUUCCCUUACACGUCAUAGUCUCCUUUAUACACCACUGCCCGUGCCUGAAAAUCCAUUGUGCAGCGGAUGUGCGGAGACUGAAGCUUGAUUAAUUAUUAGUGUUACUUCUCAUUUUAUUCUGGGGAAACAAUGAGCCGAAACGGGCCCCGUGGCACCGCGUCGUGGCUCAGCUCCGCGCGGACUGAAUUAUUUAUAGCCAGGAGACGCACAGUCAGUCAACAAGCACGCAAACUCGUUAUGCGAGAACAAAUAAACCCAAUCUUUCUUUUUCUGUGCUUGGAGAGCUAUUUCCCACGCCGGCCUAACAAACCACAGGUACAGCGCUCACCCGUCACACCGACACACAACCAUGUCACGUGAAGCGGAGAGACGCGCCCAUUUGCCGUGCAGUACCUCCACCGCGCUGCGGGGGCGCCCGUGAGCAGCGCGGGACGCUCGACGUCAUCAAGCGGGAAACGAGGGAACAGCGCGAAUCUCCCGCAUUAUUGGACUGGACUGAUCCAAAAGUAUGGCUACACUACAGUAUUUGGACAUUUAUUCCAUAUCUGAACUCUUUAUACCAGGGUGACAGGUACGCAGCGCUCAAGAUGCCAGCGACAACAGGGAACCGUGUGCAAGGAAGAAGAUGACGUUGGCAACCAGUAAUUUAGUUUCUCC